Molecule: ribosomal RNA, 474 nt
Filed under: uncultured bacterium
Lineage: Bacteria
Description: bacterial SSU rRNA
Rfam family: Bacterial small subunit ribosomal RNA
Source: RNAcentral
AUUGAACGCUGGCGGCAUGCUUUACACAUGCAAGUCGAGCGGCAGCGCGGGGGCAACCCUGGCGGCGAGCGGCGAACGGGUGAGUAAUGCAUCGGAACGUGUCCCGUAGUGGGGGGAUAACCCGCCGAAAGGCGGGCUAAUACCGCAUAUGCUCUACGGAGGAAAGCGGGGGACCGCAAGGCCUCGCGCUAUGGGAGCGGCCGAUGUCCGAUUAGCUAGUUGGCGGGGUAAAGGCCCACCAAGGCGACGAUCGGUAGCUGGUCCGAGAGGAUGAUCCGCCACACUGGGACUGAGACACGGCCCAGACUCCUACGGGAGGCAGCAGUGGGGAAUUUUGGACAAUGGGCGCAAGCCUGAUCCAGCCAUGCCGCGUGAGUGAAGAAGGCCUGGUUGUAAGACGUCUUCGGUGGGGUAAGGAAAGUACGCAUGGGUAAUACCGUAGUGUGGAGUGACGGUACCGGAACGUAAGAAGAC